Long non-coding RNA from Saccostrea cuccullata (small rock oyster), 438 nucleotides. RefSeq lists it as uncharacterized. NCBI's taxonomy places the organism in Eukaryota, Metazoa, Mollusca, Bivalvia, Ostreida, Ostreidae. The record is from RefSeq and is a predicted model, not a curated record. The transcript has 3 exons.
UUGAGAAAGGGAGGUGCUCUAACUGUUAGCACCCUCUUCACCUCGUCCAUUUUUUUUUCAUACAUUCUUAAAAAAGUAAUUUAUCUAGACUUAAAUUAUAAGCUCUAUGUCUAUCUUUCAAAAUGUCAACUUGGAUAUGGAUUUUUUCCGGCUAAAAAUGGUCCUUAGCUUUUCUCGGGAUCGGUUUUGUUUUUAUCGGAUGAAACUGUACGUCAUGUUUGACGUCACCAGCUGUAACAGAAAUUGAAAACACGGUGAAGAAGGAUUUAUCAAGUCUCUGUUAAAAUUGGAACCCGGUAUCACAUCUGACUCGCACUUCUGAAAUGGAUCAAAUCGGACUUUGUCGUCGAGACUCGGAAGAACCCAGCUGCCUAAAUUAUAAUGCCAGUGGAACACAAAACAGAAAAGAUACUUGUAUGCAAGACAUGGAGAAAAGAG